Non-coding RNA from Microcebus murinus (gray mouse lemur), 1420 nucleotides. NCBI's taxonomy places the organism in Eukaryota, Metazoa, Chordata, Mammalia, Primates, Cheirogaleidae. The record is from RefSeq and is a predicted model, not a curated record.
UCAAUGUCAUCAUUUUUAUUAUGGAUAAUUUAUUUAGUAGCAAUCCUUUAUUGAACAUUUAGGUUGCUCCAUUUUUUUAUAGUUAAAAAAACACUUCAUGGAGAGUCCAAAGUCAGAAACAUAGGACUAACUUAUUUCCAAACUGUAUAUUAGUCACAUUUUAAAAUAAUAGGCUCAACAUAUUUUCCUUCAACUUCCAUGCACCUUCUUCCAUGAAGUGUUUCUAAAGCAACAGAUCCAACUGUUAAUCUAAAAAGUAUUAAAAAUACACUAUUUUCCCUGUGUUUCCAGACUUUUUGGACAACAUUUAGUAUGUUUUUACAACUUACUGUUUCUAUGUGUCCCAUUGAGUGGGCAGUUGUUUACACUCUUAAAAAUUGGGAAAAAAAAUUCAGAGGAAAAGAAAGUAUGGCUUCCAGACCAUAUGUAGAAGGUAUCACUUUUCCAAGUAGAUCUCUGCACUGUUAUCCCAGAUCUAGGGUUUAGACACCAUAGGGAAAGGGAAUACUGCUUAAAAAGGGUGUGUAGGAUAGUUGAAGUCGACCUUUCAGGGAAAGGCAAGAAGGCUGUGUACGUCACAGUCUAUAAUUUACUUAAAGGCAGGAUUUAUGAUGGCAAAAUCAAGGUAUCUAUUCAAAUGAGAAAGUUCCUCACACAGAGAUGCUGCUAGUCCAUGUGACAGUUUUCUGCAAAGUAGCCAAGGGAAUCCCCUUUGGAUGGAUAAAGCUCCUUGGAUCAAGUAUUCUGUCAGGACUGUGGUACUAUUCUCUGGGUCAACUGUGUGAUUUCUACAGAGAUACAUUCUGCUGCUAAUUUGGCUCCUUUGGGCAGAGAAAUUCAAUUUUCUCCCGCUCAUAAAAGUUCACAACCACGUAACUUCUGUGAGUUGCUCCAGAAAGGAAGAUAUGAUCAGACCUCAUGAGGAUUAAAAUGAUCUGGAUAUGUCUUGUGUGCAGCGCGAGCAGACAGGAUUAUCAUUCAAGGCAAACAUGUGGAUCUUUUACAGUGUGGAGGUUAAAGAAGACAUUAUAAACACUGGCAAUGCUUGGAUCGUAACAAAUUGGAUUUAUUCUUCUGACUUGUUAUAAAAUGCCUGGUGGGGAAACAUAAAUGAUGAAUGAAAAACCAGAAGAAAGUUUUCAUGGACUUAGUUGACCAGAAAUGGGUUCAUCUGAAAUUAAUUAAGCUGUUCUCUAAAGAAAUCUUUGAUAAUUUUCUGAUCUCUGGUAUUUGAAGAAUAUUUAAUAGUAUAGGUUUUACAGAGUCAUUGUAUAGUAUUAUCUGCUGAUACAUAUUUAUAUUUAUUUUAUAUAUUUAUUUAUGUAUAGGCUUUGUUACUUGUACAUCUUUCUUUCAAUGGGUAACUCAUUUUUGUUCUUAAGUAAAACAAGCAGUGGGAAUGAUGGAAAUACAACAGUAU